Glossina fuscipes is the source of this 1599-nucleotide long non-coding RNA. RefSeq lists it as uncharacterized. NCBI's taxonomy places the organism in Eukaryota, Metazoa, Arthropoda, Insecta, Diptera, Glossinidae. The record is from RefSeq and is a predicted model, not a curated record. The transcript is spliced from 3 exons.
UACCUUUGUGUUUGACUUCAAUUACUUCUUAUAUAGCCUAGUACUCUUCUGCUUUGUUUAACACCGAAGGAAAAAACCAAUUGUGUCAAUAUCGUUUAUAUCGAUGGCAGAUACUUACUAUAAUCCUUUUCUUGCAAUACAUAGUUGGAUAAGCAAUGAAGUAGCUUGGGUUUAUUCUACUAAUUGCUUAACCAUUUUGUACGAUUUCCACAUUUCUAGGUUAAUCAUGGCAACUUGUAUCCUAUGCUUUAAAAUGAAGGAAGCCGAUGCGAAAACACAUGCAUACGGCUUCACUUAAUCCCCUCCUGAUAUUUUUCCACGGUUGCCCCCAGUUUCUACUUCGCAUAUUCUUUUAUUAUAGAACGAAAUGAAUUUCUUGCCCUACACCACUUGUGGUACAAGAUGCAUUAAGCAAUAGCCAAAAAGGUUUGAGAGAGACCCACUUCUUAUUGUACUGACCGCCUAUCCUUCAACUUUAAGCUUUUAUGAUUAUCUGUUCAUCUGUCCGUCUGUUGUCUGUUUGUGUUCAACUCACAGGUCACAAUUUUUCAAAUAUCGGAUCGGACCAUUUUAUCGGUCACUUCCCAAUGUCGUUAUAUGACUAACUUCAUUAAACUGUGUUAAGUGAGGUUAGGUAUUAAUAGUGGUCCGCGAUCAACUAUAAUGUCUUUACUACCUAAAACCUAUGAAUGAUUUCAUUCCGACUUAUCUCUCAAGCUUAACUAACAAAUUCCACGAGUUAUUUGUUUUAUUUUUGUCAGUACGAAACUCGUCCUUCUCAAUCACCAAUUAUUUCGCAGAAUUCGAUCCAAACCCCCAAAUUGUUCCCUGCUUUCCUAGAAAUAUCUGCACCUCUACCAUUUCCCUAUGUAGGGGGAAAAUUACAUAGAGUAUUAAGCAAAAAAUUUAAAGCAUAAUUGUUUUUAAACGAACUGUUGAUCAGAAACCUAAGUAAGAUUUAUCGAAGGAGAUUAUUAGAACGCCCGAAAAUAUGAUAUCAUUUUCAGACAACUGAAAAAAAAACAUGAAACUUUGAAAGUAACAUCAGUUACAGAAGGAAUAAAUAUUUAGGCAACACUUUAGCUAAGCAUUUUCACUUACGGAUACACUGCUUGUUAUACGGCAUAGUGCGUAAGUGGAUUCGUUUGCAUUGCUAGCUUGGUGGCUUCAUACGGUCGUAUACUAGAUUUUUUUUCAUUAUUAUUAUUGCUAUAAUAUUAUCACUUUUUUUAGACGAAUCAAAUAAGCCCUAAAAGACUGCUUUUUAUAUUACGAAGGAAUAGUAGAUAUUGAGCCGAGUAGUUCUAAUAAAGUAAUAUAUUAAUUUUAGCGAGAUGCUGCGAUCUGUAGCUGACGGCAGGAUUUGCAUAGGAUCGGUCAUACCCGAUGCGAUUCAUCUAAAUAAUGAAAGGCAAAUGCUUUGUUGUAACAAUUUGUCCGCAAUUGUAGAUUGGGGAGGUAGACUUCUCUAGGAUCAAUUGCUGCAUAGCAAUUGUAUGGCCAAGACGAGGGCGCGCAAAUGUUUUCAUCUUGAUUGUUGGUUUUUCUUUUUUUGAUUUUUAUUUUUAAAUUAAUUUAUGACAUCACACAACCUACAUA